RNAcentral lists this ribosomal RNA (497 nucleotides) under uncultured bacterium. Its description in RNAcentral is "partial 16S ribosomal RNA". It matches the Rfam family "Bacterial small subunit ribosomal RNA", at positions 28 to 507 of the family's 1533-position model. The record is from RNAcentral.
GAUGAACGCUGGCGGCGUGCCUAAUACAUGCAAGUCGAGCGAACAGACGAGGAGCUUGCUCCUCUGACGUUAGCGGCGGACGGGUGAGUAACACGUGGAUAACCUACCUAUAAGACUGGGAUAACUUCGGGAAACCGGAGCUAAUACCGGAUAAUAUAUUGAACCGCAUGGUUCAAUAGUGAAAGACGGUUUUGCUGUCACUUAUAGAUGGAUCCGCGCCGCAUUAGCUAGUUGGUAAGGUAACGGCUUACCAAGGCAACGAUGCGUAGCCGACCUGAGAGGGUGGAUCGCCAACCGGGAAACGAGGACACGGGCCGGACCCCAACGGGAGGAGCCGGAGGGAAAACUCCGGCAAGGGCGAAAGCUUGACGGAGCAACGCCGCGUGAGUGAUGAAGGUCUUCGGAUCGUAAAACUCUGUUAUUAGGGAAGAACAAAUGUGUAAGUAACUAUGCACGUCUUGACGGUACCUAACCAGAAAGCCACGGCUAACUACGUG